This 67-nucleotide transfer RNA is filed under the name Bacillus sp. FJAT-21351. RNAcentral describes it as "tRNA-Lys". The stretch from base 5 to 64 matches the Rfam family "tRNA", at positions 7 to 64 of the family's 71-position model. From Rfam's summary of the family: Transfer RNA (tRNA) molecules are approximately 80 nucleotides in length. Their secondary structure includes four short double-helical elements and three loops (D, anti-codon, and T loops). Further hydrogen bonds mediate the characteristic L-shaped molecular structure. tRNAs have two regions of fundamental functional importance: the anti-codon, which is responsible for specific mRNA codon recognition, and the 3' end, to which the tRNAs corresponding amino acid is attached (by aminoacyl-tRNA synthetases). tRNAs cope with the degeneracy of the genetic code in two manners: having more than one tRNA (with a specific anti-codon) for a particular amino acid; and 'wobble' base-pairing, i.e. permitting non-standard base-pairing at the 3rd anti-codon position. The record is from RNAcentral. Lineage: Bacteria; Bacillati; Bacillota; Bacilli; Caryophanales; Bacillaceae.
GCCAUUAGCUCAGUUGGUAGAGCAUCUGACUUUUAAUCAGAGGGUCGAAGGUUCGAGUCCUUCANUA